This 441-nucleotide ribosomal RNA is filed under the name uncultured Streptomyces sp. RNAcentral describes it as "bacterial SSU rRNA". It matches the Rfam family "Bacterial small subunit ribosomal RNA", at positions 341 to 792 of the family's 1533-position model. Lineage: Bacteria; Bacillati; Actinomycetota; Actinomycetes; Kitasatosporales; Streptomycetaceae. The record is from RNAcentral.
ACGGGAGGCAGCAGUGGGGAAUAUUGCACAAUGGGCGCAAGCCUGAUGCAGCGACGCCGCGUGAGGGAUGAAGGCCUUCGGGUUGUAAACCUCUUUCAGCAGGGAAGAAGCUCUUGAGUGACGGUACCUGCAGAAGAAGCGCCGGCUAACUACGUGCCAGCAGCCGCGGUAAUACGUAGGGCGCGAGCGUUGUCCGGAAUUAUUGGGCGUAAAGAGCUCGUAGGCGGCUUGUCGCGUCGGUUGUGAAAGCCCGGGGCUUAACUCCGGGUCUGCAGUCGAUACGGGCAGGCUAGAGUUCGGUAGGGGAGAUCGGAAUUCCUGGUGUAGCGGUGAAAUGCGCAGAUAUCAGGAGGAACACCGGUGGCGAAGGCGGAUCUCUGGGCCGAUACUGACGCUGAGGAGCGAAAGCGUGGGGAGCGAACAGGAUUAGAUACCCUGGUA